UAUUAUUCUAAAAAUAAUUGUUUCCUUAGUUAGUAAUAGAUAUUUUCUUAAAAUCUAAAAAAUUUGGCGGUAAUUUAAUCUUUUCAGAGGAACUUGUUUUUUGAUCGAUAAACCGCGAAUAAUCUUACUUGCUUACAUAUUAAAGUUUGUAUACCAUCAUUAUCAGGUAAUUUUAAAAGAAUAAAUUAUCAGGAGUAAAUUUUUAAUAAAAUUAGAUCAAGGUGCAGCUAAUAAGGAAGGUAAAAUGAGUUACAAUAAAUUUUUUUAAACGGUUAAAUGGAAGAAUUUUUAUUUAUAAGGAGGAUUUGGUAGUAUUUUAAGUUUAAUAUGCUUUGAAGAUAAUAGCUCUAAAUUAUGUACAUAU
RNAcentral lists this ribosomal RNA (364 nucleotides) under Arcotheres ocularius. RNAcentral's name for it is "partial small subunit ribosomal RNA". The record is from RNAcentral. Lineage: Eukaryota; Metazoa; Arthropoda; Malacostraca; Decapoda; Pinnotheridae.